This is a non-coding RNA of Paramuricea clavata, 211 nucleotides long. NCBI's taxonomy places the organism in Eukaryota, Metazoa, Cnidaria, Anthozoa, Malacalcyonacea, Plexauridae. The record is from the annotation of a GenBank genome assembly.
AAAAAUUCGUUGGCUCGAGCGGGAUUUGAACUCGCAUCUUCGGGUAUCUAGACCGCAUCUCUACCCAUUAAUUAGCUAUCAAGUCAACGGGGAUUGGUACGUAGCGAGUCUUAACCAAUUUAAUUAAGUGCACGAAAUAUUUUCGUGACGACUAACGCUUGUAGAUAUCCGAAGAUGCGAGUUCAAAUCCCGCCCGAGCCAACGAAUUUUU